AUGUGACACAACAUUUCAGGUACACAUUUGUUAAUGAAAGAGUGAAGAGAAGUGCAAGAUACUAUUCACCAGGAUGGAGAACUUGGGCAGCUGUAGCAAUUCAGUUGGCUUGGAGGAGGUAUAAGCACCGUUUGACGCUUACUUCGUUGUCAUUUAUCAGGCCAAGAAGACCUUUAUCUCGGUGCUCUUCCUUGGGGGAGGAUAGGCUCAGGCUUUAUACAGCUUUGUUAACUUCACCAAAGCCAAAUCAGGAUGAUUUGGACUUCUGAAAGCGACC
RNAcentral lists this unclassified non-coding RNA (277 nucleotides) under Hevea brasiliensis (rubber tree). Lineage: Eukaryota; Viridiplantae; Streptophyta; Magnoliopsida; Malpighiales; Euphorbiaceae. The record is from RNAcentral.